GAUGAAGAACGUAGCGAAACGCGAUAUGUAAUGUGAAUUGCAGAAUUCAGUGAAUCAUCGAAUCUUUGAACGCACAUGGCGCCUUCCAGUAUCCUGGGAGGCAUGCCUGUCCGAGCGUCGUUUCAACCCUCGAGCCCCCGUGGCCCGGCGUUGGGGAUCUGCCCAGGCAGUCCCCGAACACCAGUGGCGGACCCGUUACAGGCCCUUCCCUUGCGUAGUAGCAUUCGCCUCGCAUCGGGAGCCGGCGGGCUUCCAGCCUCUAAACCCCCAUCAAGUCCGCCCCGGCGGCACCAAGGUUGACCUCGGAUCAGGUAGGAAUACCCGCUGAACUUAAGCAUAUCAAUAAGCGGAGGA
This 354-nucleotide unclassified non-coding RNA is filed under the name soil metagenome. Its description in RNAcentral is "partial contains 5.8S ribosomal RNA, internal transcribed spacer 2, and large subunit ribosomal RNA". The stretch from base 1 to 120 matches the Rfam family "5.8S ribosomal RNA", at positions 35 to 154 of the family's 154-position model. The record is from RNAcentral.